GACGAACGCUGGCGGCGUGCUUAACACAUGCAAGUAGAACGGAAAGGCACUGCUUGCAGGGUACUCGAGUGGCGAACGGGGGAGUAAAACGUGGGUGAACUGCCCUGCACAUCGGGAGAAGCCUGGGGAACAGGGUCUAAUACCGGACAGGAGACAAGUUUAGGGUGAUGGUUGGAAAGUAUGUUCGGUGUAGGAUGAGCCCGCGGCCUAUCAGCUUGUUGGUGGGGUAAUGGCCUACCAAGGCGGCGACGGGUAGCCGGCCUGAGAGGGUGGACGGCGCCCUUGGGACUGAGGGACGGCCCAGACUCCUACGGGAGGCAACAGUGGGGAAUCUUGCCCAAUGGGCGCGAGCCUGAUGCGGCGGCGCCGCGUUGGGGAUGCCGGCCUUCGGGUUGUAAACUCCUUUCGCUAGGGACGAAGCUUUUUGUGACGGUACCUAGAUAAGAAGCACCGGCUAACUACGUG
This 465-nucleotide ribosomal RNA is filed under the name uncultured bacterium. Its description in RNAcentral is "partial 16S ribosomal RNA". It matches the Rfam family "Bacterial small subunit ribosomal RNA", at positions 28 to 507 of the family's 1533-position model. The record is from RNAcentral.